CCCGAAAAUGGAUGGCGCUGGANGACGGACCGAUGCCNNACCGUCGCGGCGAGGAGCGAAUAUAAACGCGCCUAACCGAUGCCGCGACGAGUAGGAGGGNGCCGCGGUGUGCACGGAAGCCUAGGGCGCNAGCCC
RNAcentral lists this ribosomal RNA (135 nucleotides) under Loligo sp. Its description in RNAcentral is "partial 28S ribosomal RNA". It matches the Rfam family "Eukaryotic large subunit ribosomal RNA", at positions 1311 to 1424 of the family's 3401-position model. Lineage: Eukaryota; Metazoa; Mollusca; Cephalopoda; Myopsida; Loliginidae. The record is from RNAcentral.